RNAcentral lists this ribosomal RNA (575 nucleotides) under uncultured bacterium. RNAcentral's name for it is "partial 16S ribosomal RNA". It matches the Rfam family "Bacterial small subunit ribosomal RNA", at positions 355 to 920 of the family's 1533-position model. The record is from RNAcentral.
UGGGGAAUUUUGGACAAUGGGCGAAAGCCUGAUCCAGCAAUGCCGCGUGUGUGAAGAAGGCCUUCGGGUUGUAAAGCACUUUUGUCCGGAAAGAAAUCCUUGGCUCUAAUACAGUCGGGGGAUGACGGUACCGGAAGAAUAAGCACCGGCUAACUACGUGCCAGCAGCCGCGGUAAUACGUAGGGUGCAAGCGUUAAUCGGAAUUACUGGGCGUAAAGCGUGCGCAGGCGGUUUGCUAAGACCGAUGUGAAAUCCCCGGGCUCAACCUGGGAACUGCAUUGGUGACUGGCAGGCUAGAGUAUAGCAGAGGGGGGUAGAAUUCCACGUGUAGCAGUGAAAUGCGUAGAGAUGUGGAGGAAUACCGAUGGCGAAGGCAGCCCCCUGGCAAGUACUGACGCUCAUGCACGAAAAGCGUGGGGGAGCAAACAGGAUUAGAUACCCCUGGUAGUCCACGCCCUAAAACGAUGUCAACUAGUUGUUGGGGAUUCAUUUCCUUAGUAACGUAGCUAACGCGUGAAGUUGACCGCCUGGGGAGUACGGUCGCAAGAUUAAAACUUAAAUGAAUUGACGGGGGU